This 240-nucleotide unclassified non-coding RNA is filed under the name soil metagenome. RNAcentral describes it as "partial contains 5.8S ribosomal RNA, internal transcribed spacer 2, and large subunit ribosomal RNA". The record is from RNAcentral.
AACUGAUACUACCUGCGGGAACCUGCGGAAGGAUCAUUACCGAGUUUUCAACUCCCAAACCCCAUGUGAACUUAUACCAUUUACAACCGUUGCUUCGGCGGGUUCUCGCCCCGGGCUUUACACCCCGGAACCAGGCGGCCCGCCGGGGGACCCAAACUCUAGAUUUAUAUUUUAGCAUGUCUGAGUGGAAUCAUUACAAAAUGAAUCAAAACUUUUAACAACGGAUCUCUAGAUCGGAAG